RNAcentral lists this ribosomal RNA (404 nucleotides) under uncultured bacterium. Its description in RNAcentral is "bacterial SSU rRNA". It matches the Rfam family "Bacterial small subunit ribosomal RNA", at positions 355 to 776 of the family's 1533-position model. The record is from RNAcentral.
UGGGGAAUAUUGCACAAUGGGGGAAACCCUGAUGCAGCGACGCCGCGUGAGUGAAGAAGUAUUUCGGUAUGUAAAGCUCUAUCAGCAGGGAAGAUAAUUACGGUCCCUGACUAAGAAGCCCCGGCUAACUACGUCCCAGCAGCCGCGGUAAUACGUAGGGGGCAAGCGUUAUCCGGAUUUACUGGGUGUAAAGGGUGCGUAGGUGGCAAGGCAAGUCAGAUGUGAAAGCCCGGGGCUCAACCCCGGUACUGCAUUUGAAACUGUCUGGCUAGAGUGCAGGAGAGGUAAGCGGAAUUCCUAGUGUAGCGGUGAAAUGCGUAGAUAUUAGGAGGAACACCAGUGGCGAAGGCGGCUUACUGGACUGUAACUGACACUGAGGCACGAAAGCGUGGGGAGCAAACAGG